Molecule: long non-coding RNA, 8373 nt
Filed under: Nicotiana benthamiana
Lineage: Eukaryota; Viridiplantae; Streptophyta; Magnoliopsida; Solanales; Solanaceae
Description: long non-coding RNA (NBEN_LNC028429)
Source: RNAcentral
CGCAAUUCACAAAAGAGACCCUCCAUGUAUUUUUUCAUCUUCCUCACCCCCAUCUUCUCACAAGAAUGGAGCAGCCAUAAAUGACCAGCAAACUCGCCAGAAAACCUCCAACAGCCAUCGCUCCUUUACCACCAUAAUUGGCCGGAAUCUGGCGACCAUACACACACAUACAGCAAAAAAAAAAGACACGGGAAAAAUGAAGGAAAAAGACUAGAUAAUGGGAGCAAAACACACACACACAGAUAGUAGAGAGGAAAACAAAGAGAGCUAACGUAACAUUGAUCACUUUCUUCUUCUUCCGAGCUGUUAACCCUCCAUAAGAAUGACAAAAAUAGAACAACGAAUUCAGAUUUUGUUUGGAUUUUGAUUCUGAUAGUCACUUUUUUGAUUUCAUCUUAGUUCAUUGAUAUUAAGGAAAAGAUUUCGGUUGAUUUUUAGCUUCUGUUUUGAUUUCAUAUUUGAAAAAUGCAAUGAAAAUUCUAGCUAUUCUUUUGGGCUUGGCUUUCGAAACGAGUAUGGGACAAUAGCAAACUAGUGGAGUUUUGCGAGCACGAGAGGAGCUUGAAUCUGGUUUCAAGCUUUGCUUGGGUUUUCAGUUAUUGUCCAUUCAUUAUCUUUUUGAAUCGUGACAGAGAUACUUCCGAGAUCGAGGUAUUGGUUAGAGGUUGUCCGGGUUAGAUCCAUUCGAAGUUUCGUUUCUAGCUCAAGGUUCUGGUCUUUAGUUUGUUAUUGAAUUACUCCAUCGGGGAUUUUCGUUUGUUAUUCACGUUAAGAGAUAAGCAGCAGUAAAGGUCCAUCUCUUAAUUCUCUUAUUACCUCUUCAAUUUGGUGGCAUAAAAUAUGAUAUUGAGUUUUAGUUUAGAUUGCAUUUAACAUGAAAUCUCUACUAUUGUUGUUGUUGUUGCAUUUUCAAUUGGAAUCUGUUAGUUUUAUAUUUGUUGUGGUGGUAAAUGAAUGCUCUGUUUCAUGUGUCAUUCUUAUGUGAUUGACUCCGCAAAGAAUUGAAUUUCAUGGUUGUUUACUUUAUGCUCGUAUCUAUCACUGCUUAUGGUUUGUACAGGCUACUUUAUGUCGUUAGUGAAAUCUGGUUGUCUAAACACUUAGGAAAUUUUGGUAUAACCUUAGCUAUGUGUUAAUGGAGGGUUCCAGUUUGAUAAUUUGGUAUUUUGCUAAUUUUGAACAAGUGAAAUCUUUUGUGUAUGGUUUGUGUGAUAUCUUCCUUCUAGUUGAUGAUUUAUGUUUAUUUACUGAUUAAUUGCAAUAUUAUUGUUGGAUGCCUGCAGUAUCACUUUAAAAGUACGGUUUUCGUGGCGUAGUUGUGACACCCAAUUAGUGUUAAAUAUAACCAUCCCUAGUUAAAUGUUUUUCUUUAAUAAAUUUAAGUUGUGCCAUCCAAGCACUUAGCAUAUGGCCCUCACUUGCUUAAUGUUAAUCCUUUGGAAAUUGAGGCGUGCCAUUUAGCGAAUUUUCCAUGGCUCUCACAAACUUGAAAAUGCAUAGUUGCUUUAGGCGCGUUAGUUUAAUAAUUUGCCUUCCUAAACUCGGGUGCGCAUUUAUGUGACCCAAAUCCAAAUCUCAACAAUGUUAGAUAAAAUAUGUCAAGGACCGCGAGUGCAUUUAUGUGACGUGGUUCAAGAUGUGUUUUAGAUGACAUUGAAUAUUUCCUAAAAAUAAUAAUUCAAUAAAAGCGUCUCAAAAGUUUAAAAUUGCACCGUAGGUUAAAUUAUGUAUUAAAAUCAUAUAAUAGGCUAAUUAUAAUAGUUUAGCGACCAUGCUAUAACUACGAAACUCGCGAAUGACUAAUACCUUUUUCCGGGUUAAUAGAAUUCCUUACUCGAAUUUAUGUGUUCGCAGACUGUGAAACAGAGUCAAUCGUUUCCUCGAUUCAGGAUUUGAAUCGAUAACUUGUGACACUAUAAAUAUUCCAAGUGGCGACUUUGAAAUAUUAGUAAAAUAAUCCCGUUUCAAUUGUCACUUUAUGUUAAAAAAACUCCUUUAUACCUUCUUCCGGGGGUUUAGGAAAAAAAAGAGGCGUGACAGCUCUGGCGAUUGACAAGAACCCAGAAUUUCUGGUUCAGAGUUCAAGAAUUCGAGCUUAGAAUAGUUGUUGUAUUUGGCUUUGUUUAUUAUAUGAUUUAUUACAUGGUUGGGCCUAAUGUGCUAAAUGUUGCUUUUUACCGCUUUGAUAUUCUCGGAAAUGUAUAUAUAAACUGCUACGAAACCCCUUUCUUCUUUCUCCUGAGGAGUGCACGUUGGCGUGACUUCUUUCUGUUAGUGUCAUACCCCAAAUAGGAUGACGUUCAGACAAGUUUCAAAGCCGGAUAAUCUUUUGGUUUGUGGUACGCAGCCCCCCCCUGGCUCGAGCUGUCCACUCAGUUAAGCCAUGUCUAGAAUAAAUAAACUCUGGUUUUUAAACAUAAUAACUCAGCCUCAUAACGGAUCCUUAGUAGGAAUGUUUGUUUGCAUCACGUGCAUUUCACUUAGGAGACUCAAUAGAAGAGUUGGGUCCGUCUAGGACAAGUGUACCAAAAAUGAUAGACCAUCCUGAUACAUCCUAUGUGCUACAUGUUACCUUUCUUGAGGGGUAAAAGAGACGUUUGACAGACCAAUGAUAGUUGAGGGCAAAAUGAAAAAUAAGACCGAGAGGUUGAAGUGUGAAAUAAAGCGAGUAGGGCUCAAUCAUGUUUUCUGUUACAUUUAUAUUAAGAAAAAGACAAAAAAGAAAAGGAUGAAAAAUUAAAAUCUUUAUUACACUAUUUCAUAUUUUUCAAAAAUCAAAAAUCAAAAAAGGUGGGAAAAGAAAAUCUAAAAAGAGUACAUGUUUCAUCCUUUUUCAAAACAAAAGAUAAAAAAAUAUGUCUUCUCUUAAUUAGUUGUUUUUUUGUUAUUUCUCGACCGUAUCCAAUCUACCCAAACUACGCAUACUUGAUUUUCGUCUUUCGGGGCGUAAUACGUAGGCAACCCACAUAGGGUCCAGUCUUCUUAGUAAAUCUUAGGUUCUUGGCUUUGCGGGAUCUUAGCCAAAUUUUGUACCUCUAACCACCUUCUGACCAAAUAAGCCAUUUUGCAAAAAUAACCUCAAUCAUGUCUUACAUGUGUCCAAUAAGGAGUGUUAUUGUCUCACAUAGUGUUGGUUUAUAGUUUCUUCAUACAGGUGUGGAUUUAUCUACCAGAGUUUGAGCAUAACAGAUAUCCUAGGAUCACUGCAUUCAGGAGCUGCUCGAGGUACUAUUUUACGUUUUUGAGUCAAUUAUUCAUGUUUUAGUCCAGUAUAUUAGUAUUCAGUCUUUUAGGUGAUGUUAGAGUUUGUAAUAGUCUAGUUAGGUCUGCCUAGUCUUCUAUUAUUCUAUUUCUUAUUUUGUAUUGAGAAAUGUGUUACACGUCAAAAAACAAAAAAAAAAAAGAAAUUUUGUGUUUUUAUAUUUCUGUUAGAAGUUUUCUUUGAAAUACUAAUUCUAGGAAUUAAAAAAAAUUAUUUGAGGCGGUUUUUCCUUUAGGCAAUGAAUAUCUAGAACUUAAUAUAAAAAUUGCUUUUAUAUUUCCUUUUAGUGCAUUAAGACCAAAAAAGAAAAAUUCAAGAAAAGAGAAGAGAAUUUUCUUUUAGUACCUCUUUAAGAGUUUUCUUUAUAGAUAUUACUUCCAAAAAUCCAAAAAGAUUUUCUUUUGAGGUUAUUUUUUUUGAACUUAAUGAAAAAAUAAAAAAAUUCCUUUUAUUUUACUAGAACUUUAGGACAUUGUACAUAGAAAGAAAAACAUAAUUUAUCUUUUGUUUAUCAUUAGAAUUUCUUCUUUAGGUAAUCAAAAUUAAAAUCCAAAAUAUUUUGUUUUAUUUAUUUUUAUUAUUUAUUGCUUGUUUUGAAAUCUCGCGUCAGGAUAUCAAAUGGAAAUUCAAAUACUUUUUUGUGGUUUACUCAUUAGAUUUCCUUCUUGAAAAAAAGAGAAUCAAAAAUAUUUUUUUUUCUCUUCUAGGGGUUUUCCUUAAUAAUUUUCCAUAGAGUAUUUGUUUCAAAUUGAAAAAAAAUAUAUAUGCUCGUUAAGCUUGAGUUUGGAAUAGGUUAUAGAAUAUUAAGAUUAGAAAUUUCAAAAACAAAAAAGAUAUUUCUUUUAUUUCUCUUUUAUCAUCAGAAUAGUCAUUAAGAGGAAAAAAAGAGAAGAAGAAGAAAAAGGGAACGUUAGUUUAUUAACUUUAUUUCUGAUCUUUCCAGAACUACACAAAGAUUUGAUUCAUGCGGGGUCAUGGUACGUAGGCAACCUACAUAAGGCUCGAUCGAAUAAUUUUUUAGUAAAGAGAAAGAAGAAAAAGAAGGAAAAAAUAAAAAAAGAAAAAAAAUAGGGGAAAAAAGAGGAUGAAAUUAUGGGAUGUGAGAAAUGAGAGGGAAGAAAAGAGCGGUAAUCUGAAAGAAAAAGGGGAAGGAAAGUGAGCGAGCUAGGAAGUACUAGAAAAGAAAAGAAAAGAAAAGAGACGAUUCAAAUGGACAAACUGGGAUGAGGCCAAGUGAUAUUAUGACCCUCGAAGUCAUUCUAGAACCAUUAACUGUUGCUAGGUGCAUUGCACGCAAUGUGAUAUUUUUGAUGUUAAAUGCCCUAACGCUAACAGGAUGACCCAUUUUGUUCCUUUUGAUAUCUUCAUAGCAGAAAGGUGAUUGGUUAUUGAUUCUUGAAGUAGUAACUCCUCUCCAUAACAUAAAUUCAAAUGGCAAUGGCACAUAACAACGAAAUUGGGUUGGUUAAUACCGGUGCCCGAAAACAGUUGGAUGAACAGGACACUAAUUUGGCUGAGGAUGUAAGGAUGUUAAGACAACACUUGGCGGACAUAUAUCAGGCUUGGAUGACUAGGAUAGCACCACCCCUACCACCACCUAGCUUCUUAGAUGUUGGAUUUACCCAAAAUCCGGACACAAUGUCAGUUGAUCCCCCAUACUCUCUAGAUCCACCUGUUUAUCACAACUUUCCCAACCACCCUAGUAGCUCUAUCACUCGUCGUCUAACUAUCUUUUGCCAAAAGUUCCUUCCUGUCAAAUCCAUUAUCCCAGACAAUGAACACCUACUCAAAGCUCAUGAUGACCAAUACUACUUCGUAGAGGUUGCCCACAAGGUUCCUGACUCAUACAAGAAGAGCCUACAGAAUGAGCUUCAUGCUGUAAAUGAAAAGGUCACAAGAAGAGAAGGGCGAGAUUGGAUAUUCAAGAGGCCGAAAGACAUAAAAAGGUCCUUAGAGAACAAGCAAGGAAUGGGAGACCAGGGAAGCAUGGCUUACAAAGAACUGUCUGUGUCCCAUGAUGUUCGCCUGGCCAUGGGAUCUAAAAUGCUAAAAUUUAACUUGUAUGAUAGGUGUGGAGAUCCGGUAGCGCACCUGAGGGAUUAUUGCAAUGAAAUGAGAAGUGUUGGAGAGCAAGAUGACCUGUUGAUGGCCUAUUUCCAUAGGAGCUUGACUGGGGCAGCUUAGAAUGUCAUAAUCGUCAAGAUGAUGGUAAGUGGCCUACAUUGGGUGACAUGGCUAAAUAUGUUAUUUGAUACUUUCAAUACAAAUCAAGCGUUAUCCCAGACCGAUCCUCCUAAUCAAAAAUGGAAAAGAAGCCAGAGGAAAGCUUUAGGGAGUUUGGACUCAGAUAGAGGGAGCAAGCUGCUCGAGUCAGUACCUCGAUUGAUGAAGAAGAAAUGGUUGAGCUUUUCCUACAAGCCCAGGGCCAACCUACUUCAGUCAUUUGGUCCCGACCUGGAAAAAGCCUUUGAAUGAUGUGAUAAAAAUGAGAGAGAUGGUAGAAAAGGGAAACAAGUCUGGCAAAAUCAUUAAAAAUGUGUUCAACAUUGAAAGAUCCCAGUAAGUUCAGAACAUUCAGAACAUCCCAAUAAGUUAGGGUGGAAGAAAGAGAAUUAGAAAAGAUGAUCCACAGGGCAUUCAUGCUCAACACUUUCAGACAACUUUCCUGCUCGAAAUAAAGGAAAUUAGAAGUGAAUUUAAUUAAAAUAUUAUGGUAUCAUGCUCGUAUUUAGUCCUGGUACCCGGUACAAGUCUUAUAUAUUAUUUAAGCUCUUUCGAUAAAGUUUGGUUGAAAACGGACGUUGUUUGACGUGUUUUGGACUUAAAAUAGAAAUUUGAUGUUUUAUGAAAACUUGGAGGAAAUUAUGAGUUUUGAGGCUUAAUACGAUGUAUAUGAUGUUAUUUUGGUGAUUCGAUUGUACGAGUAAGUCCGUAGGAUGUUUUUGACGUUGUGUGCAUGUUUGGUUUUGAGCCCUAAGGGCUCGGAUGAGUUUUAGAUAGGUGCCGAAUUGUAUUUUUGAAUUUUGGAAAAUCUGGUAUGAACAGGCCUGCAGGCUUCGUAUUUGCAAAUCCUGGUUUGCAAAUGCGAACUCACAAAUGCGAAGGCGGGAUCGCAAAUGCGUAACCAGCCCAGGCCUGCCUGGCUCGCAAAUGCGAAGCUUCCUUCGCAAAUGCAAAAGUUGAGCUUUCGCAAAUGCAAAAGUUGAGCUUUCGCAAAUGCGAAGCAUACAUCACAAAUGCGAAGUUCUUCUUUUAGGCCAGUGUUAACGUAUCCGAACAAAAAUCUAGCAUUUACCAUAACUGCAGGGUUCACAAUUGCAAACCCCUAUUCGUAAUUCCCAUAUCUGCAACCUGGAAUUUUUAUACUUAGUCGAAUUUUGGACCUUUUUCACCCCAUUUUCAAAACACAACUCCUUUGGGUGAUUUUUCAAGAUUAAGACCUCUUCCAAAUCGUUUGUACGUUGGUUUUUGCUCAUUUCUUUCAAUCAUUAACAUCAUUUGAAAUAUUUUUAACUUAAUAUCAAGGGUUUUCAUGGGUAAAAUUGGGUUUGGGUAGAACCUAGGUUUUUCUAAAAUUGGGGAUUAGGUCCUGAAUUGGAGGUUCGAUUUCAAAAUAAAUCAUCUAUUUGGGUUCGUAGGGGAAUGGGUAACCGGAUUUUGGUUCGAAUCUCGGGUUUUGAUCAUGUUGAUCUGAGGGGUGUUUUGGUUAUUUUACCUAAAUUUGUGUCUUAGCUUUAAAUUAAAUAGUGGAAUCAGUUGUUUGGGCCAUUUGAAGUCGGAUAAUUGUGGAAAAAGUGUGGUUUCAAGUUUAAUUGGAGUAGGUUUGAGGUAAGUGGCUUGUCUAACCUUGUGUGGGGGACUUCUUCCCCUUAGGACAUGAUGUUUGGUAUUGAAUGCCUCGUACGUGAGGUGACAAGCGCGUACUUGAGCAAGUUGUUAGAAAUCUUUUUUUACUUGAAGUAUUUAAAUUGAGUUUCCUUGCUUACCUGUUCAUUUUAAAUUGUAAGUUUAUCCUAUGCUAGUUUAGAGAAGCAUGUUCAUUUGACUUACUUGCCUAAGUGCUUAAACUGUCUUGUUUGUACUCCGUGUAAUAUGUUUGGCUAGGAUUUUCUAUUUCUUGUCCUGAGUUUAGUAUCAAUCCUAAUGUUUGGGUUGCUAUUGUGUUUUUAAAUGGGGACUGCGGGUUGGCCUCCCUGGAGAUCCCCCUGCACUUGAUAUUCUUAAAUUGUCUUGUUUGUACUCCGUGUAGUAUGUUUGGCUAGGAUUUUCUAUUUCUUGUCCUGAGUGUAGUAUCUAUCCUAAUGUUUGGGUUGCUAUUGUGUGUUAUUAAAUUGGGAUUGCGGGUUGGCCUCCAGGGAGAUCCCCCUGCACUUGAUAUGUUAUGGACUGAGGGUGCGGGUUACCAAGAGAUCCCUAGCACAUGAAAUUGUAUGACUUGAGGAUACCAAGAGAUCCUCAGGAUACCAAGAGAUCCCUGUCACAUGAAAUUGUAAGACUUGAGGAUACCAAAAGAUCCUCAGGAUACCAAAAGAUCUCUGGCACAUGAAAUUGUAAGAUUUGAGGAUACCAAGAGAUCCUCGGGAUACCAAGGGAUACCUGGCACAUGAAAUUGUAAUAUUUGAGGAUACCAAGAGAUCCCUCGUAUAUGUGGUGAGGAUACUAAGAGAUCCUCGGGAUACCAAGAGAUCCCCGGGUGUGGUUUCUGUUGUGAGUAGUAUUUAUUAGUAUUAUCCUGUUUUUCUGUUUUUUAUUACAGUUUCCAUAUUUAUCUUGUUUAGAUUCUCGCUGUACACUUUAUCUAUGCUAUUUGUUUCCUCAUCUUAUUAUUUAUUGUGCUAUAUAUCAGUAGGGCCCGAACCUUUCCUCGUCACUACCCAACCGAGGUUAGGCUUGGCACUUACUGAGUACCAUUGUGGUGUAGUCAUGCCUCUCCUGCGCAUGUUUUCAUGUGCAGAUCCAGGUACUUCAUCUCAGGCACACUACCCUUGAGGCAGGGAGAGCUACAGAGACUUUGAGGUACAUCUGCAGGGUCUGUAGACCGAAGAGUCUCCCUCUUUACUCUAUCUGUAGUAUUUAGCCUUCUUUCGUACUUUUGUUUAGACAAAUUCUGG